RNAcentral lists this ribosomal RNA (253 nucleotides) under uncultured bacterium. Its description in RNAcentral is "partial 16S ribosomal RNA". It matches the Rfam family "Bacterial small subunit ribosomal RNA", at positions 524 to 776 of the family's 1533-position model. The record is from RNAcentral.
UACAGAGGUCCCAAGCGUUGUUCGGAUUCACUGGGCGUAAAGGGUGCGUAGGUGGUCGGGUAAGUCUGAUGUGAAAUCUCCGAGCUCAACUCGGAAAUGGCAUUGGAAACUACCUGGCUGGAGGGUUGGAGGGGGGACUGGAAUUCUCGGUGUAGCAGUGAAAUGCGCAGAUAUCAGGAGGAACACCGGUGGCGAAGGCGGAUCUCUGGGCCUUACCUGACGCUGAGGCGCGAAAGCUAGGGGAGCAAACAGG